Molecule: ribosomal RNA, 170 nt
Filed under: Hime japonica
Lineage: Eukaryota; Metazoa; Chordata; Actinopteri; Aulopiformes; Aulopidae
Description: partial 12S ribosomal RNA
Source: RNAcentral
CACCGCGGUUAUACGAGAGACCCAAGUUGACUUACACCGGCGUAAAGUGUGGUUAGGGCCCCAACCUCUAAUAAAGUCGAACACCUCCCGAACUGUUAUACGCACACGGAGACAAGAAGCACCGCUACGAAAGUGACUUUAAACCCCCUGAACCCACGACAGCCUUGACA